This 268-nucleotide ribosomal RNA is filed under the name uncultured bacterium. RNAcentral describes it as "partial 16S ribosomal RNA". It matches the Rfam family "Bacterial small subunit ribosomal RNA", at positions 88 to 354 of the family's 1533-position model. The record is from RNAcentral.
AUGGGGACCGGCGCACGGGUGAGUAACGCGUAUCCAACCUGCCCUUUACUAUGGGACAGCCCGUCGAAAGGCGGAUUAAUACCGUAUGUUGUCAUGUUGAUGCAUAUUUUCAUGACCAAAGGCUUCGGCCGGUAAAGGAUGGGGAUGCGUCUGAUUAGCUUGCCGGCGGGGUAACGGCCCACCGGGGCGACGAUCAGUAGGGGUUCUGAGAGGAAGGUCCCCCACAUUGGAACUGAGACACGGUCCAAACUCCUACGGGAGGCAGCAG